ACUGCUGUGCUUAAUAUUUGAAAUGAAUUGUAAGUGUUGCAUAAUGUGACAACAUGAUUGCCUUGCUAGGGAUGUUGCUGCAGCUGCGUCAGAGCAGAGAACUCUAUGUGUAGGAAGACUAGAUGUGGCAGCAGAAGACCAUGGCUCCAUCCUGCACCUUUGACAGUAGUGGGACAGUUGGCAACUGGUGUUAUAAAAUGAUGGGCAUAGUCCAUUCUUCUGAGUCACUUGCCUGAGACACUCUGUAAAUUUCAGUCUGAAAAACAUGUCUGGCUUCUAAUUGUUACCCCCUUGCUUAUUCUGGUCAAGCACUACUUCUUGUCACAGCUAAUAUUGCAGGUAGUUCUUGUGACUGUGAAUUGUAAGCCUACUUGUCAUAUUAUUUUGUUUCAUGGUUUAUUUGCAUCCUAAAAACACUCCCAGGCUGGCUCGUAUAACAUCAACAACAUGCAGGCUGUGCAUGCCUUCCCUUAGGCGUAUAAUCUAAAAGGCACAGCACAAAAGGAAAAAAGAAUGAGGAGGGCAGAAGAAAGAAUUUCAGAAGCUGCUCCUGUCAAUAUUUCCUCUUAUGCCAAGAAACCAAAGUCGACAGAAUUUGUACUGCUUGGCAGGCAUGCAAAUGAAGAGCAGCUUGAUGGUCAGAGAAUACAAAUGUGUCGGUGUUAAUGAAAGGAGCAGAGGCCGUUGCCGCAACUGUAGGCAUUCCCAGAAGGUCAAGAUCUUCCAAGGAUUCAUAAUUGAGAAAGAAGAGAGCCAGCCCUAUUGAUGUUCCAGCAAAAUAUGCCUGUCUUCUUUACACAUUAGAAUAAUAUGCUUUUUGGUGAGACGACUAUCCACUGGAAAAUAAAGUGAAAUAUAUGACCUUAUAAGUAAUAAAAAGAAUUCAUAUG
Long non-coding RNA from Podarcis raffonei (Aeolian wall lizard), 890 nucleotides. RefSeq lists it as uncharacterized. The transcript has 2 exons. The record is from RefSeq and is a predicted model, not a curated record. Lineage: Eukaryota; Metazoa; Chordata; Lepidosauria; Squamata; Lacertidae.